Trichomonas vaginalis G3 is the source of this 1078-nucleotide non-coding RNA. NCBI's taxonomy places the organism in Eukaryota, Parabasalia, Trichomonadida, Trichomonadidae. The record is from Rfam.
UUGACCUCAUCAGAGGCACGCCAUUCGACUGAGUGACCUAUCAGCUUGUACUUAGGGUCUUUACCUAGGUAGGCUAUCACGGGUAACGGGCGGUUACCGUCGGACUGCCGGAGAAGGCGCCUGAGAGAUAGCGACUAUAUCCACGGGUAGCAGCAGGCGCGAAACUUUCCCACUCGAGACUUUCGGAGGAGGUAAUGACCAGUUCCAUUGGUGCCUUUUGGUACUGUGGAUAGGGGUACGGUUUUCCACCGUACCGAAACCUAGCAGAGGGCCAGUCUGGUGCCAGCAGCUGCGGUAAUUCCAGCUCUGCGAGUUUGCUCCCAUAUUGUUGCAGUUAAAACGCCCGUAGUCUGAAUUGGCCAGCAAUGGUCGUACGUAUUUUUACGUUCACUGUGAACAAAUCAGGACGCUUAGAGUAUGGCCACAUGAAUGACUCAGCGCAGUAUGAAGUCUUUGUUUUCUUCCGAAAACAAGCUCAAUGAGAGCCAUCGGGGGUAGAUCUAUCUCAUGACGAGUGGUGGAAUACUUUGACUCAUGAGAGAGAAGCUGAGGCGAAGGCGUCUACCUAGAGGGUUUCUGUCGAUCAAGGGCGAGAGUAGGAGUAUCCAACAGGAUUAGAGACCCUGGUAGUUCCUACCUUAAACGAUGCCGACAGGAGUUUGUCAUUUGUUAAUGGCAGAAUCUUUGGAGAAAUCAUAGUUCUUGGGCUCUGGGGGAACUACGACCGCAAGGCUGAAACUUGAAGGAAUUGACGGAAGGGCACACCAGGGGUGGAGCCUGUGGCUUAAUUUGAAUCAACACGGGGAAACUUACCAGGACCAGAUGUUUUUUAUGACUGACAGGCUUCGGGUCUUUCAGGAUAUUGUUUUUGGUGGUGCAUGGCCGUUGGUGGUGCGUGGGUUGACCUGUCUAGCGUUGAUUCAGCUAACGAGCGAGAUUAUCGCCAAUUAUUUACUUUGCCGAAGUCCUUCGGUUAAAGUUCUAAUUGGGACUCCCUGCGAUUUUAGCAGGUGGAAGAGGGUAGCAAUAACAGGUCCCGUGAUGCCCUUUAGAUGCUCUGGGCUGCACGCGUGCUACA